RNAcentral lists this ribosomal RNA (253 nucleotides) under uncultured soil bacterium. RNAcentral describes it as "partial 16S ribosomal RNA". It matches the Rfam family "Bacterial small subunit ribosomal RNA", at positions 26 to 280 of the family's 1533-position model. The record is from RNAcentral.
AGGACGAACGCUGGCGGCGUGCUUAACACAUGCAAGUCGAGCGGAAAGGCCUUUCGGGGUACUCGAGCGGCGAACGGGUGAGUAACACGUGAGUAAUCUGCCCAUCGCUUCAGGAUAGCCAGUCGGAAACGGUGAUUAAUACUGGAUAUGACAUUCCUUCGCAGUGUUGGGGUAGUGGAAAGUUUUUUCGGCGGUGGAUGUGGCUCGCGGCUUAUCAGCUUGUUGGUGGGUAAUGGCCUACCAAGGCUUUGAC